ACAUACGACCAUAGGGUGUGGAAAACAGGGCUUCCCGUUCGCUCAGCCGUACUUAAGCCACACGCCGGGAGGUUAGUAGUUGGGUGGGUGACCACCAGCGAAUCCCUUCUGUUGUAUGUU
Molecule: ribosomal RNA, 120 nt
Filed under: Aspergillus tubingensis
Lineage: Eukaryota; Fungi; Ascomycota; Eurotiomycetes; Eurotiales; Aspergillaceae
Source: RNAcentral